This 546-nucleotide ribosomal RNA is filed under the name uncultured bacterium. RNAcentral describes it as "partial 16S ribosomal RNA". It matches the Rfam family "Bacterial small subunit ribosomal RNA", at positions 355 to 887 of the family's 1533-position model. The record is from RNAcentral.
UGGGGAAUCUUCCGCAAUGGACGAAAGUCUGACGGAGCAACGCCGCGUGUAUGAUGAAGGUCUUCGGAUUGUAAAGUACUGUCAUUGGGGAAGAACGGUUUUCUUGAGAAUAUUGAGAAGACAUGACGGUACCCAAGGAGGAAGCCCCGGCUAACUACGUGCCAGCAGCCGCGGUAAUACGUAGGGGGCAAGCGUUGUCCGGAAUUAUUGGGCGUAAAGGGCGCGUAGGCGGGCCUUUAAGUCCGGUGUGAAAGAUCAGGGCUCAACCCUGAGAGUGCAUCGGAAACUGGAGGCCUUGAGGACAGGAGAGGAAAGUGGAAUUCCACGUGUAGCGGUGAAAUGCGUAGAUAUGUGGAGGAACACCAGUGGCGAAAGGCGACUUUCUGGACUGUAACUGACGCUGAGGCGCGAAAGCGUGGGGAGCAAAACAGGAUUAGAUACCCUGGUAGUCCACGCCGUAAACGAUGAGUGCUAGGUGUAGAGGGUAUCGACCCCUUCUGUGCCGCAGUUAACACAAUAAGCACUCCCGCCUGGGGAGGUACGGCC